GAACAAGAUAAGUUGAUCGCAAGCCAAAAAACCAAAGAAGCGGAGCAAGAGAGACAAUGGAAGCAGCUCCAAGCUCUUCGACAACAACAGCAGUCGUCUCAAGAUCAGCGAAACCAGGGAUUACAAAGGGUUGUUCAUCGACCUCUUGGAAUUGAUGCCAGUAGUAACCUAAUUCAGUUCCAGCAACCACCACAACCUAGUCCCGAUGCAAUGGUCUCACCGCAGCUAACCUCUCAACUUCAAGUGGCUACCAAUCAGGACGCUGGUCAUCAUCCAUCGCUCACCUCUCCCAAUAUGAUGCAGCAGCAACGUUCCCCAUAUGCACCACCGCAAUCUCCACAAAUGACAAAGCGUGUGUCAGCCCGCACAAUCACCAUCUACAUUUCAAGGAACUUUUCCACGUCCUCCAGCUGUUUCUGCAUCUCAAGAUGAUAUAUUCAGUCCACCUGCAGCUCCAGUCCGUCUUCCUUCCUCAGAGAUGUUCAAUCAGAACCCUGUAGUGUCUCUUCCCUCCGGACAGUUCAAGCAGCCGUUUCAAAUACCGUGUUCAGCACAGCAUCAGCACCACUUCAGCAUACUAAUGGUCAAAAUGUCAACCAACAGCUCCAUGACCUUCUGCAGCGACAACAGCAAUUCAAAAAGAUUGAUUCCUCCUCCAACAUCAUUGAUUCAAACAUUAUGCAACAAAGCGUUUGGGGGCAAGACAAUCAAGGUCAACAACAAGUGCAACAAACUCAACAACAGCCGCAACAUCAACAGCAGCAACCACAACAACAAAACAUCAUCUCCGGUAUAGAAGCCCAAAAAUCCCAACUGGAGCAGAUCACUGUUUCUGGUGUGAACACCAUGUACUCACAGCCUUUCCGACAACCUUUACCCCCGGGUACUGUCAUCAAUCGACCUGUUAUGCAGCAACAGCGGUUAUUGACACCACAGCAACAGCAGUUACUCAUGCAAAGAUCUCCGCUCUUGCAGCAGCAGCGAAUAUUGGAUCCACGUCUCCAGCGAACAAUAGGAUUCCCUGCGCAGCAACAGCAGACCAUAAACAUCAAUCAGCUGGCUAAUGCAGCAAGGCUAAAUAAUCCGCAAAACGUUCUUCGCGCUCCUGUUGAUUCUUAUCCGGUCAAUCAGUUGAAUCAGCAUCAACAAGCUGUGCAAUUUAAUGACCCCAACAAUCCAAACCUCAUGAUUCGCAAACCUGGAGAAAAUGCAGGCGACAGGAAUUUAGUGUCUCAGAGCGGACCUAACAAUCAAAUCCUCAGCCAUCCGUCUAGUAAUCAAUCCCAUGAAACAAGUGAAAUUCCGGACAGCGUGACGGCAGAGCUGGAAAAGGAGCGGGAAGAAGGUGUCGGACAAAGUAGUACUGUGACAGGUAUGACAGAAGCAGAAGCAGUCAGUGCAAUCUUAAAUGAUCUCGUAGAGGACGAUGACGAGCUCCUUGCGGAGAUGGGUGGAGAUGACUUCAACAUCCUCGAAUAUGCGGAUCCUGAGCUUGACAGUUUAACUGGGUGCGAGAAAGCAAACAUCUUAGAUGAAAUUGAAGCUGAUGAACAACAUAAAACAGAUAAAAGGAACUCAGCAAGGGAUCCAAUGGAGUCGGACAAAGAGAUGGGACAAAUCGAUGCUCUGAAACCAAAUUCAUCGGAAAUGGUGAACGACCCCUCAGCCCUCGGAAAUCAGGAUGACAAACCUUUGGCCACGGUUGGCAGCGACAAUUCCAAUUCAUUUCCUAGUCAGUCGCAGCAAUCACCGAUGGACCCAUCUAGUCAGCAACAACAGCCACAGCAGCAGCCGCAACAGCAACAGCAGCAACCAAGUUUACUCCAACAACCGCAACUUGUGGGUCAGCAGCAACAGCUGCCCCAGACCCACCAGCAGGUGCCACAAAAUCAACAGAAUGCCCAUCGCUGUUGCCAAUUGUCAAAGCCUCUGGAAAUGUGUCUGUAA
Molecule: long non-coding RNA, 1947 nt
Filed under: Bemisia tabaci
Lineage: Eukaryota; Metazoa; Arthropoda; Insecta; Hemiptera; Aleyrodidae
Description: lncRNA ENSSSA2NGG002456
Source: RNAcentral